ACGGAAGGCAGCAGUGGGGAAUAUUGCACAAUGGGCGAAAGCCUGAUGCAGCGACGCCGCGUGAGUGAAGAAGUAUUUCGGUAUGUAAAGCUCUAUCAGCAGGGAAGAUAAUGACGGUACCUGACUAAGAAGCACCGGCUAAAUACGUGCCAGCAGCCGCGGUAAUACGUAUGGUGCAAGCGUUAUCCGGAUUUACUGGGUGUAAAGGGAGCGUAGACGGCAUGGCAAGUCUGAAGUGAAAGCCCGGGGCUUAACCCCGGGACUGCUUUGGAAACUGUUAAGCUAGAGUGCAGGAGAGGUAAGUGGAAUUCCUAGUGUAGCGGUGAAAUGCGUAGAUAUUAGGAGGAACACCAGUGGCGAAGGCGGCUUACUGGACUGUAGCUGACGUUGAGGCUCGAAAGCGUGGGGAGCAAACAGGAUUAGAUACCCUGGUA
Molecule: ribosomal RNA, 434 nt
Filed under: uncultured Clostridium sp.
Lineage: Bacteria; Bacillati; Bacillota; Clostridia; Eubacteriales; Clostridiaceae
Description: partial 16S ribosomal RNA
Rfam family: Bacterial small subunit ribosomal RNA
Source: RNAcentral